Molecule: ribosomal RNA, 568 nt
Filed under: uncultured bacterium
Lineage: Bacteria
Description: bacterial SSU rRNA
Rfam family: Bacterial small subunit ribosomal RNA
Source: RNAcentral
ACCCGCACAACCGGUGGAGCGUCUGGUUUAAUUCGAUGCUAACCGAAAAACCUCACCAGGGUUUGACAUGCGGUGUGUCGGGUAUGAAGGUACCCUAGGCUAUGAUUAUUCAUAGCCGCGCCGCACAGGUGGUGCAUGGUCGUCGUCAGCUCGUGUCGUGAGAUGUUGGGUUAAGUCCCGCAACGAGCGCAACCCUUGUCCUGUGUUACCAGCGGGUAAAGCCGGGUACUCACAGGAGACUGCCGGCGAUAAGUCGGAGGAAGGAGGGGAUGACGUCAGAUCAGUAUGCCCUUUAUGCCCUGGGCUACACAGGCGCUACAGUGGCAGGGACAAUGGGACGCGACGCAGCAAUGCGGAGCAAAUCCCCUAAACCCUGUCGUGGUGCGGAUUGGGGGUUGCAACUCACCCCCAUGAAGGCGGAAUCGGUAGUAAUGGCGAAUCAGCAAUGUCGCCGUGAAUACGUUCCCGGGUCUUGUACACACCGCCCGUCACGCCAUGGGAGUUGGGUUCAUCGGAAGUCCCCGAGCUAACCGCAAGGAGGCAGGGGCCGAUGAUGGGCCUGAUGACU